CGUCCUCGUAGGGGUCGGGUUCCUCGUCCUCGGGCGGCGGGGGCCAGUCCGGGUCCUCGACGACGGCCGGGUCGUGUGCGGCGGGAGCGUC
This 91-nucleotide transfer RNA is filed under the name Streptomyces fuscichromogenes. Its description in RNAcentral is "tRNA-Pro". The record is from RNAcentral. Lineage: Bacteria; Bacillati; Actinomycetota; Actinomycetes; Kitasatosporales; Streptomycetaceae.